Molecule: transfer RNA, 71 nt
Filed under: Bos taurus (domestic cattle)
Lineage: Eukaryota; Metazoa; Chordata; Mammalia; Artiodactyla; Bovidae
Also listed under: 1 other name
Rfam family: tRNA
About the family: Transfer RNA (tRNA) molecules are approximately 80 nucleotides in length. Their secondary structure includes four short double-helical elements and three loops (D, anti-codon, and T loops).
Source: Rfam by way of RNAcentral
UCCCGGGUAGCUCAGUGGUAUAGCAUCUGCCUGCCAAGUAGGAGACACUGGUUCGAUUUCUGGGUUGGGAA